Molecule: ribosomal RNA, 484 nt
Filed under: uncultured bacterium
Lineage: Bacteria
Description: partial 16S ribosomal RNA
Rfam family: Bacterial small subunit ribosomal RNA
Source: RNAcentral
AUUGAACGCUGGCGGCAUGCUUUACACAUGCAAGUCGAACGGCAGCGCGGGCUUCGGCCUGGCGGCGAGUGGCGAACGGGUGAGUAAUGCAUCGGAACGUGCCCAGUAGUGGGGGAUAGCCCGGCGAAAGCCGGAUUAAUACCGCAUACGACCUGAGGGUGAAAGCGGGGGACCGAAAGGCCUCGCGCUAUUGGAGCGGCCGAUGUCGGAUUAGCUAGUUGGUGGGGUAAAGGCUUACCAAGGCGACGAUCCGUAGCUGGUCUGAGAGGACGACCAGCCACACUGGGACUGAGACACGGCCCAGACUCCUACGGGAGGCAGCAGUGGGGAAUUUUGGACAAUGGGGGCAACCCUGAUCCAGCCAUGCCGCGUGCGGGAAGAAGGCCUUCGGGUUGUAAGCCGCUUUUGUUCGGGAAGAAAUCCUCUGGGCUAAUACCCCGGGGGGAUGACGGUACCGGAAGAAUAAGCACCGGCUAACUACGUG